This 407-nucleotide ribosomal RNA is filed under the name uncultured bacterium. RNAcentral's name for it is "partial 16S ribosomal RNA". It matches the Rfam family "Bacterial small subunit ribosomal RNA", at positions 30 to 526 of the family's 1533-position model. The record is from RNAcentral.
AUUGAACGCUGGCGGCAGGCCUAACACAUGCAAGUCGAGCGGAGCGGCGGACGGUUGAGUAAUGCCUAGGAAUCUGCCUGGUCGUGGGGGAUAACGUCCGGAAACGGGCGCUAAUCCCGCAUACUAUCAGAUGAGCCUAGGUCGGAUUAGCUAGUUGGUGGGGUAAAGGCCUACCAAGGUGACGAUCCGUAACGGGUCUGCGAGGAUGAUCCGUCACACUGGAACUGAGACACGGUCCAGACUCCUACGGGAGGCAGCAGUGGGGAAUAUUGGACAAUGGGCGAAAGCCUGAUCCAGCCAUGCCGCGUGUGUGAAGAAGGUCUUCGGAUUGUAAAGCACUUUAAGUUGGGAGGCGUUACCCGCAGAAGAAGCACCGGCUAACUCCGUGCCAGCCGCCGCGGUAAUUC